AGCACCAAGCUAGCAGCACCAGGCUAGUAGCACCAGGCUAGCAGCACCAGGCUAGCAGCACCAGGCUAGCCCAUGGCAGAGGGAACAGCAACAUCAACUCAGUGCUGCCAGCCUCGGGUCACACUUUUCCUGCUACACGUUUUGGAGAUGAGGAUUUAUUUUAGUGUUAUGACUGCAACACAAGAUUGUGGAGCUGCGGUUUGUCAGAGAUCAGCUGUGCUGCUCUGGUCUCAGCUCUGAAGUCCAACCCCUCCCACCUGAAAGAGCUGGACCUGAGGGGCAACAAGAACCUGAAGGAGUCAGACGUGAAGCAGCUGUGUGAUCUGAAGGAGAGUCCAGACUGUAGACUGGAGACUCUGGAGUAAGUAGAGGGUUGGAUUCAGUCCAUGCUGGUUUCAGCAGUAUCAAACUAAACCCAGUUAGUAUCAAAGCUAAGAUCCAGUAUUUUCUGUAAACCUCCAACCUCGUCAGUGAAGCUGUGAGAGGAGAGAGAGAACAGUCAGCCAAUCAGAGACUGUUCUCUCUGAACCCAACAGCAGUAAAUCAUCAUUAAAGUGAGCAGUGAACGUCUCUCUGUUUCUGCAGUAAUGAUGCGUUCAGGACUCUUAGCAGUUUAUUUCCACUGUGUACUUCAGUGAAAUCUGCAGAGUCAACAGACUUGAUGGCCAAAGUCUCUGCAGGUCUGUGAGCUUCACUCCAACACGUUAACAUGAGAGCUGAAAGGAAGCAGGCUGCUCUACACAGCCGCUCCACUUGGUGUCUGAACAGGACUGAAGUCUCUGCUGCUCUUUAUACUGGAUGCUGUUAACUUGUUCAACAUCAACACUGUUCUAAUGUUUGCAACUUACCCAAUUACCCUAGUGGGGAUUGUUUUGUGUAUCUUACACAUAAAAUAACAAUAACAACA
Perca fluviatilis (European perch) is the source of this 907-nucleotide long non-coding RNA. RefSeq lists it as uncharacterized. The record is from RefSeq and is a predicted model, not a curated record. Lineage: Eukaryota; Metazoa; Chordata; Actinopteri; Perciformes; Percidae. The transcript has 2 exons.